UGUACGGCAUCAAACGCUCUGGCUGUAAUUUCAGUCCUUAAUACCUAAUUCCUCUUUGCUCAGUUAGCCCACAAGAAAUUAUCUUCUUAGAAAGCCAUACCUAGUCUGGGUGACAGCUUAGCCCUGUUAGAAUGAUCUUAUGAGAAGGGAGAGAAUUUUCAAGAAACAUAGCAAUCAACAAAAUGAAAAUCUCUUGAUCAAGUGAUCAACAAAUUGAAGUUUAAAAAUUAUACAUCUGAAAGACAGGGGAGGAGACAGAGAAGAUGAAGAAGAGGAGGAGGAAGAAAAACGAGGAGAAAGAGGACGAAAAAAAUCCAUAUUCCUAUAUGAGAAUUCACAUCCUGAGUUAGUCUGAAUAUCUUCUUUUACCUCUGUUAAUAUUCACUGACAACAUUCCAAAGGGUACCAUGAUUAGCAAUAAAACAAAAAGAAAUUUA
Molecule: long non-coding RNA, 437 nt
Organism: Suricata suricatta (meerkat)
Lineage: Eukaryota; Metazoa; Chordata; Mammalia; Carnivora; Herpestidae
Exons: 2
Source: RefSeq, a predicted model, not a curated record